Molecule: long non-coding RNA, 437 nt
Organism: Limanda limanda (common dab)
Lineage: Eukaryota; Metazoa; Chordata; Actinopteri; Pleuronectiformes; Pleuronectidae
Exons: 3
Source: RefSeq, a predicted model, not a curated record
CACCGGGCGCUUUCAUCGCCUUUGUCAUUAUCACUGUCGUUAAGGUUUUGGUGAUAAUUGCCAUACCAGCAGCUUUUGUUGGAUAUCGAAUAAAAGGAAAACAUGCAAGUUUGGACAAGGAAAAAACAGUGUACGAAAAUGUUCAGGUCAUAAGCGUGAACACCACUUAAGGAUCAGAAUUCAACCGAUGAUGCUGCAGCUCCUUCUCCGUCCUCCAUCUACAGCUUGAUCGAAGUUGGGUCCAUUAAAUCCACUGAGGACGGAGACACGGCUCUGCCUGAACAUCUGGAAUUAUCUUCCACAUUCUGCCUUUUGGACGAUGUCCAGUAUUAUUGUUUCUUGCGAGUCAUGUGAUAUUUUCCCUGGGAAGAUUUGGGGAUUUUUUCGACCAGAACCAGAACCAGGAGCAUUUAGAACAGCUCCGCCCACUUUAAAAC